Molecule: RNA transcript, 1103 nt
Organism: Carica papaya (papaya)
Lineage: Eukaryota; Viridiplantae; Streptophyta; Magnoliopsida; Brassicales; Caricaceae
Gene name: Chaperone DnaJ-domain superfamily protein
Source: RefSeq, a predicted model, not a curated record
UCAGAUAGAGCAGCCAGCGAGGCGCAUAACGGAUAAUAAAUAAUAAUAGAAAAAACCAGCACAAGAAUAAAAAUACCAAAUCCCCGAACGACCUUUUCCUUCUCCUUCCUCAAUCUGAAACUAUUAUCUGAUUCUGCAUAUCUUUGAUCUUUUCUACUUCAAUUUCUCUAAAUUCACUCUCUCCCAUUCUGGAAUUUCUCUCUCUGCUGCUCUUCACUUAUCCAAUCAAGCAUGUAGACGCUGGUUCAAUUACCAUAUCGGAUGGAAGGCAAUCAUAAGGAUUAUUACAAAGUGUUGGAGGUUGAUUAUGAUGCAAGUGAUGAGAAGAUAAGAGUGAAUUAUCGGAAGCUUGCACUGAAGUGGCAUCCUGAUAAACACAAGGGCGAUAGAGCUGUAACUGCCAAAUUCCAAGAGAUUAAUGAAGCUUACAGUGAAAGCACAUCCGUUUGGUAUACCAAGAUGAUUUCACAUUAUACUUUUGUAUUGAGUGAUCCUACUAAACGCUUUGAAUAUGAUCUAACUGGUAUUUAUGAGAUUGAUAAAUAUACUUUGCGGGAAUACCUGGCCAGAUUUAAGGGAAUGAUACUUACAUGCAAUGGCCUUGGUAUUAGUCAUACAUCAAUAUGGACACAGCAAUUGACAGAAACCGAGCUAGGGAUGAGCAAGGAUACUCUAUGAAUUGAGCCAGAAGCGUGGAUAAUAUACCAGCAUUGAAUAGUCAAAUUGAAAGGAAUUGUGAGGAGAAAUGGCAAAACGAUAUUGGAACAUCAAUUCAGAAGAGAUGAUGGAAGCAGGAGGAGUUCGUUUUGGUCGCGGUACUAGAAAAUGGAAUCCUAGAACGGCACCUUAUAUUUCUGCAAAGCAUGAAGUUAUUUCAUAUUACAAAUCCGACUCCGAACUUUAAAAGUAAGAUCUCUUAAAGAUUUUUUGGAGUUUUUCGUAUUAUUUUUCCUUUUUUUCUUGGCAGAGCUUUAGAUUAUUAGGUCGAAACAUGAAACAAAAUAGAUCGAGGCAACAACAUCGGAUUGCUGUGGAAAAGAAUACUUUUCCAUUGUUGAAAGUAUAGUCAGCUAUAUACAAAGUAAAUAAUCUAUAUUUUAUAA